This 393-nucleotide ribosomal RNA is filed under the name Triticum aestivum (bread wheat). RNAcentral describes it as "partial small subunit ribosomal RNA". Lineage: Eukaryota; Viridiplantae; Streptophyta; Magnoliopsida; Poales; Poaceae. The record is from RNAcentral.
AUGUUUAGACCAAACAUACAUGAGAAAAGGGCUCGGCUCAAUGAGGUAGCUAGAUCACGUGAUGCAAUUGUUGUCCAAAGGAUCCGAUCAUCAGUACGCAGUGCAGCUGAUGAAGUUCAUAUAGGUGGUCAAAAAUUUAUGUGGGUGCCGAUCAAUCGUAGAAGUGAUGCAAAAGCACAUGAUGGAACUGUGCGUGGCUGCACCAAGAUUAGCGCAAUAAAAGAUAAUAGUUUACAAGAUGAUUUGCAGCCUAGUGUGCAGACACACGUAGACAGAAAAAUUGUACGUACUAGUGAGUUGGUUGAUGCAUCUGCUGAUGAAUUUACUAGAGACAGUGGGAAAAUUGAGGCCAUAGGUACAGAGGAAAAUAGUGAUGGUGUGAAGUUGCAGUAG